Molecule: ribosomal RNA, 429 nt
Filed under: uncultured bacterium
Lineage: Bacteria
Description: bacterial SSU rRNA
Rfam family: Bacterial small subunit ribosomal RNA
Source: RNAcentral
ACGAACGCUGGCGGCAUGCCUAACACAUGCAAGUCGAACGCCCCGCAAGGGGAGUGGCGAACGGGUGAGUAACGCGUGGGAACCUGCCCAGCAGUUGGGGAUAACCGCGGGAAACUGCGGCUAAUACCGAAUACGUCCUUAGGGAGAAAGAUUUAUCGCUGUUGGAGGGGCCUGCGUCGGAUUAGCUAGUUGGCGGGGUAACGGCCCACCAAGGCAUCGAUCCGUAGCUGGUCUGAGAGGAUGAUCAGCCACACUGGGACUGAGACACGGCCCAGACUCCUACGGGAGGCAGCAGUGGGGAAUAUUGGACAAUGGGGGCAACCCUGAUCCAGCAAUGCCGCGUGAGUGAUGAAGGCCUUAGGGUUGUAAAGCUCUUUUACCGGGGACGAUGAUGACGGUACCCGUAGAAUAAGCCCCGGCUAACCUCGU